AGUGAACGCUGGCGGUAGGCCUAACACAUGCAAGUCGAACGGCAGCACAGUAAGAGCUUGCUCUUACGGGUGGCGAGUGGCGGACGGGUGAGGAAUACAUCGGAAUCUACUUUUUCGUGGGGGAUAACGUAGGGAAACUUACGCUAAUACCGCAUACGACCUACGGGUGAAAGCAGGGGAUCUUCGGACCUUGCACGAUUGAAUGAGCCGAUGUCGGAUUAGCUAGUUGGCGGGGUAAAGGCCCACCAAGGCGACGAUCCGUAGCUGGUCUGAGAGGAUGAUCAGCCACACUGGAACGGAGACACGGUCCAGACUCCUACGGGAGGCAGCAGUGGGGAAUAUUGGACAAUGGGCGCAAGCCUGAUCCAGCCAUACCGCGUGGGUGAAGAAGGCCUUCGGGUUGUAAAGCCCUUUUGUUGGGAAAGAAAAGCAGCAGGUUAAUACCCCGCUGUUCUGACGGUACCCAAAGAAUAAGCACCGGCUAACUUCGUG
This 492-nucleotide ribosomal RNA is filed under the name uncultured bacterium. Its description in RNAcentral is "partial 16S ribosomal RNA". It matches the Rfam family "Bacterial small subunit ribosomal RNA", at positions 29 to 507 of the family's 1533-position model. The record is from RNAcentral.